RNAcentral lists this unclassified non-coding RNA (388 nucleotides) under Hevea brasiliensis (rubber tree). The record is from RNAcentral. Lineage: Eukaryota; Viridiplantae; Streptophyta; Magnoliopsida; Malpighiales; Euphorbiaceae.
CCCCUAUCUUUGACCCAAAUUAUAGCAGCUAGAAAAAAACACCCUCUGACUUACAAAAUCCUACGACACCAACAGCCCCAUACACGAAAGUCAUAAAAUUUAAAAAGAUGAGUCCAGCAAAGAAGCUCAAAAUAAUCCACAAAAACAGGGACCACAAAUUGCCAUGCACCUUUUCUCAUGGCUUGUUCUGUGUAGGUUUCAUACAUGCAACUAUUGAUGCACUAAUUAAGAAAAGAAUAAGAAGAAACCUAUUCUCAUAAUGACAUAUGAUACAAGCAGAUUAACUUGCUAUAAUGCUUCGCAUGAAUGAAUAUUGGAUAGUCUAUAAAAUUUCAAAAUAACUCUUUUUCUAUCACUUAACUCAAGAGGAACUACUUGGUGCUACUUC